GUCGUCCAUAGAAUAGAUAAUAGACAUAGAAAUAGAAGAUAAAGCAGGUUAUCAUAGAUAUAAUUGUUCGCAUUGCAUAGAGUGUAAUUAAGUCGGUACAAUUUUUAUUUGCAUUUUGAGAAAAAAGAACGCUGAAACAAAAAGUAUAGUGAUUUAAAACGUUUGCCCUAUUUAAAACAUAAAGCAAUACAUAUUUGUAUUUAUAACAUACUACACAUUUAUCUACGGCUACGUAUCUAUGAUGCUUGAUAUCUGUGGGUGUUACCACUAAAAUCAACCCAUUGUAUAUCUAUUAUCUAUGAAUCAACCAAAAUGUCCGAUCUAUGAUGGUCGUGAAUGGUCGACUAACUGAUCUUUGUUUCUUUGCUGUAUUUAGUGAGAAAUUAUUUGAAAGUUGUUUUGAUUAAGCAUUAAAGUUCAGUUGGAUUGUACUGAAAAAACAAGUUUCUACAAUGGUAUCACCUUUCCUGGGCUAUGUGGCUAUAUUCUUCAUUUCCAACAAGUGAAUGGAAACAAGUGGGGAUUUAUUUAAAUUCUACUAAAACAAUAAAUUUUCUGCUAUAGUUUUCUUCAUGAAUUUGGUUUGCUUUUCACAUCUGCAAGCUUUGGAACAUUACAAUCUACAGUUAAUUAAGAUCGACAGUGGAGAAGACAAAUGGGACCCAUAGUUAAAAUGGUUCUUUGUCAUGUGUGCUCUACCUAAUAGAAUAAAUUCUUUAAAUUCGUUUUAUUCAAAUUAAUUUUUUAUUUUGCAUGUUUUUGUGGUUUAUUCUAAUUAAUUUUUA
Molecule: long non-coding RNA, 785 nt
Organism: Agrilus planipennis (emerald ash borer)
Lineage: Eukaryota; Metazoa; Arthropoda; Insecta; Coleoptera; Buprestidae
Exons: 3
Source: RefSeq, a predicted model, not a curated record